Molecule: ribosomal RNA, 398 nt
Filed under: uncultured bacterium
Lineage: Bacteria
Description: bacterial SSU rRNA
Rfam family: Bacterial small subunit ribosomal RNA
Source: RNAcentral
GAUGAACGCUGGCGGCGUGCUUAACACAUGCAAGUCGAACGAAGCACUUUAAUUGAUUUCUUCGGAAUGAAGUUUUUGUGACUGAGUGGCGGACGGGUGAGUAACGCGUGGGUAACCUGCCUCACACAGGGGGAUAACAGUUGGAAACGACUGCUAAUACCGCAUAAGCGCACAGGAUUGCAUGAUCCAGUGUGAAAAACUCCGGUGGUAUGAGAUGGACCCGCGUCUGAUUAGCCAGUUGCGGGGUAACGGCCCACCAAAGCGACGAUCAGUAGCCGACCUGAGAGGGUGACCGGCACAUUGGGACUGAGACACGGCCCAAAAUCCUACGGGAGCAGCAGUGGGGAAUAUUGCACAAUGGGGGAAACCCUGAAUGCAGCGACGCCGCGUGAGCGAAG